RNAcentral lists this ribosomal RNA (460 nucleotides) under uncultured bacterium. Its description in RNAcentral is "partial 16S ribosomal RNA". It matches the Rfam family "Bacterial small subunit ribosomal RNA", at positions 338 to 795 of the family's 1533-position model. The record is from RNAcentral.
CCUACGGGUGGCAGCAGUGAGGAAUAUUGGUCAAUGGACGGAAGUCUGAACCAGCCAAGUAGCGUGAAGGAUGACUGCCCUAUGGGUUGUAAACUUCUUUUAUAUGGGAAUAAAAUGUUCCACGUGUGGGAUUUUGUAUGUACCAUAUGAAUAAGGAUCGGCUAACUCCGUGCCAGCAGCCGCGGUAAUACGGAGGAUCCGAGCGUUAUCCGGAUUUAUUGGGUUUAAAGGGAGCGUAGGUGGAUUGUUAAGUCAGUUGUGAAAGUUUGCGGCUCAACCGUAAAAUUGCAGUUGAAACUGGCAGUCUUGAGUACAGUAGAGGUGGGCGGAAUGCGUGGUGUAGCGGUGAAAUGCUUAGAUAUCACGAAGAACUCCGAUUGCGAAGGCAGUUCACUGGACUGCAACUGACACUGAGGCUCGAAAGUGUGGGUAUCAAACAGGAUUAGAUACCCCAGUAGUC